Molecule: ribosomal RNA, 732 nt
Filed under: Nasutitermes sp. 3 NCCPB-2018
Lineage: Eukaryota; Metazoa; Arthropoda; Insecta; Blattodea; Termitidae
Description: partial large subunit ribosomal RNA
Source: RNAcentral
UUAAUUCAUACAUCUUAUUUAAUUUCUGUUGUUGAUUUAUUUAUUUUUAUUUGAUGUUAAGAUUGAGGGGGAUUAGCUCCUUGUUCUGCUUUUAUAAUUGUCUAUUGUUAAUUUAGUUUUGUGGAUUUUAUGGUGAUUUUCUAUUUGAUUAUGUUAAAAUUUUAUUUGUUCUUUUUUUAAUUUUUUUGUUAUUUAAGUUAUUUAUUGAAAUGUUUUCUUUACUUUUGGUUUGUAUGGUAAUUAUUGUGUAAUUAGUAAAUUUUAUUGGUUGUUUUGUGAGUACAGUAGGUGUUAAUUGCUUUUGAGGAAUUCGGCAAAAUUUUAUGUCCGCCUGUUUAACAAAAACAUCUUUUCUUGUUAGUUUUUGAAGAAUGGCCUGCCCACUGACUUUAAGUUGAAGGGGCGCGGUAUUUUGUCCCUGCAAAGGAAACACAAUCAUUAUUUCUUUAAUUGUGAUCUGGGAUGAAUGGCCUGGCCAGACACAAGCUGUCUUAGAAGUAUUGUUUUAAUGAAUUUGGUUUUUGAGUUAAAAUUCUUAAAUGUUUUUAAGGGACGGGAAGACCCUAUAGAGUUUGACAACUUUCUUAUUUAUUCGUUGUUUGUUUUUUCCACGAAUGGGAAUGGAUUGUUUUGUUGGGGUGAUGGGAGGAAUAUUAUUUAACUCCUCUUUGUUUUUGUAUAUUUAUGUAUAUAUUUUUGAUCCAUUUAUUUUGAUUAUAAGAUUAAAUUACC